CUGGAAGAUUGUCAGUUUACUACUUUCCUUGCACUGAGAGCAUUCAACCAGUAACAAAGAGCUCUUCUCCAAAAGGGCAGUUAUAAUAUUGUGGCACAGUACUUUGUUUAAAGAAAAUAUCCAGCAUGACACUAGGGUGUAAAACAAAGAGACUGGAGAGAAGGACAUCCUUGGCUUUUUACCAAUCAAAAGGAAUGAAACUUUGUUUAAAAAUAUGAAGACAUUUCUGAAGAAUGGGGUAUAUUAAUUACCUGAUUAAA
RNAcentral lists this long non-coding RNA (260 nucleotides) under Parus major (Great Tit). RNAcentral's name for it is "lncRNA (ENSPMJG00000014857.1)". The record is from RNAcentral. Lineage: Eukaryota; Metazoa; Chordata; Aves; Passeriformes; Paridae.